GUGAGGUCGUUGGUGUGGUUGCAAGUACUGAUUUUACUGAGGAGAUCUUCUGUACUCAUACACACAUCCGGAGACAACUCUAUGAGAGGUCGCAAUACUUGUGAGAGGAAGUAGGACAGUCUAUAGUUGCUGGAGAUGUUUGCUCCGCAAACUGGUCUGGUUGGGGGCCCUGCGACAGGGUUUAUGUAGGGUUUGUGGUCUUUGCGUAACCCGUAUAGUGUAGGAACAUCAUUGUUGGAUGCCUGGAAAUUGUGUGCUGUCCUUUUUGUAGGUUGGAGUAUGUUGUACCACAUUCCCAUGUGUGCAUUGAGGAUUUUUUCCUCUUUU
Long non-coding RNA from Octopus sinensis (East Asian common octopus), 327 nucleotides. RefSeq lists it as uncharacterized. NCBI's taxonomy places the organism in Eukaryota, Metazoa, Mollusca, Cephalopoda, Octopoda, Octopodidae. The transcript has 3 exons. The record is from RefSeq and is a predicted model, not a curated record.